Molecule: ribosomal RNA, 406 nt
Filed under: uncultured bacterium
Lineage: Bacteria
Description: partial 16S ribosomal RNA
Rfam family: Bacterial small subunit ribosomal RNA
Source: RNAcentral
AUUGAACGCUGGCGGCAGGCCUAACACAUGCAAGUCGAACGAGUGGCGGACGGGUGAGUAAUGUCUGGGAAUCUGCCCGAUGGAGGGGGAUAACUACUGGAAACGGUAGCUAAUACCGCAUACUAUCGGAUGAACCCAUAUGGGAUUAGCUAGUAGGUGGGGUAAAGGCUCACCUAGGCGACGAUCCCUAGCUGGUCUGAGAGGAUGAUCAGCCACACUGGAACGGAGACACGGCCAAGACUCCUACGGGAGGCAGCAGGGGGGAAUAGUGCAAAAUGGGAGCAAGCCUGAUGCAGCCAUGCCGCGUGUAUGAAGAAGGCCUUAGGGUUGUAAAGUACUAUCAGCGGGGAGGCGUUACCCGCAGAAGAAGCACCGGCUAACUCCGUGCCAGCAGCCGCGGUAAUUC